RNAcentral lists this ribosomal RNA (466 nucleotides) under uncultured bacterium. RNAcentral describes it as "partial 16S ribosomal RNA". It matches the Rfam family "Bacterial small subunit ribosomal RNA", at positions 28 to 506 of the family's 1533-position model. The record is from RNAcentral.
GACGAACGCUGGCGGCGUGCUUAACACAUGCAAGUCGAACGGAAAGGCCCUGCUUUUGUGGGGUGCUCGAGUGGCGAACGGGUGAGUAACACGUGAGUAACCUGCCCUUGACUUUGGGAUAACUUCAGGAAACUGGGGCUAAUACCGGAUAGGAGCUCCUGCUGCAUGGUGGGGGUUGGAAAGUUUCGGCGGUUGGGGUGGGACUCGCGGCUUAUCAGCUGGUUGGUGGGGUAGUGGCUUCCCAAGGCUUUGACGGUUAGCCGGCCGGAGGGGGGGACGGGCAGCAUUGGUGGUGCUGAGCGGCCCAGCCGCCUCCGGCGGGAAGCAGUGGGGAUAUUUCACGAUGGGCGGACGCCUGAUGCAGCAACGCCGCGUGCGGGAUGGCGGCCUUCGGGUUGUAAGCCGCUUUCGCCUGUGACGAAGCGUGAGUGACGGUAAUGGGUAAAGAAGCACCGGCUACCUACGU